Molecule: ribosomal RNA, 438 nt
Filed under: uncultured bacterium
Lineage: Bacteria
Description: bacterial SSU rRNA
Rfam family: Bacterial small subunit ribosomal RNA
Source: RNAcentral
UCGAACGGAAAGGCCUCUAGCUUGCUGGGGGUACUCGAGUGGCGAACGGGUGAGUAACACGUGGGUGAUCUGCCCUGCACUUCGGGAUAAGCCUGGGAAACUGGGUCUAAUACCGGAUAUGAACGGUCUUUGGUGUGAUUGUUGGAAAGAUUUUUUCGGUGUGGGAUGAGCUCGCGGCCUAUCAGCUUGUUGGUGGGGUAAUGGCCUACCAAGGCGUCGACGGGUAGCCGGCCCGAGAGGGUGUACGGCCACAUUGGGACUGAGAUACGGCCCAGACUCCUACGGGAGGCAGCAGUGGGGAAUAUUGCACAAUGGGCGCAAGCCUGAUGCAGCGACGCCGCGUGGGGGAUGAAGGCCUUCGGGUUGUAAACUCCUUUCGCUAGGGACGAAGCCUUUUAUUAGGUGACGGUACCUGGAUAAGAAGCACCGGCUAACUAC